UAGGAAAUUUAAGACUAGCUAAGUACUAGUCUUCCCCUAAAAUAGGAUUUCCAAAUUAGAGCUUCCCAUAAAUUCCAAUCCUACUCUCCAUUGCUCCCAGGUUUCUUGCUCCCUUCUCCUUGCCAUAGCUCAUUAUCUUCCUCUGGGUUAUUAAUGUGCUCCAUCCAUGGUUGUGGAAGUGUUGUAUCAUCUAACAAAGAUGUGAAAUCCGGUGGAGGUGUUUGUAGUUCAAGAUGAACUUUUUGCUAGGAUUUAACCAUGACACUCCUCCUGAAGGCUUUGAACGACAUUCUGGAUCGAGUCUGCACUUUCAGUGUUUUAUCGGUUUGAAUUCCCUAUUUUUCUGGUCUUUUUUUGUGAGUUGAGAUAGCUCUAGGCUAGAAAGCUUUAAUACAACUACAUUGGCUCUUAGAAGACAAAACUCUGAUCUAUACAUAUUAUCGUUGUGUAUUUCUGAUUUGUAAUUACACUUAGCUUAGCUUGUUGGGUUAAUCCUCCUUGUUUUAAUUCUCAAUGAC
Molecule: long non-coding RNA, 518 nt
Organism: Solanum tuberosum (potato)
Lineage: Eukaryota; Viridiplantae; Streptophyta; Magnoliopsida; Solanales; Solanaceae
Exons: 2
Source: RefSeq, a predicted model, not a curated record